GAACUUAAGCAUAUCAAUAAGCGGAGGAAAAGAAACCAACAGGGAUUACCUCAGUAACGGCGAGUGAAGCGGUAACAGCUCAAAUUUGAAAUCUGGCUCUUUCAGGGUCCGAGUUGUAAUUUGUAGAAGAUGCUUUGGGCAUUGCUCCGGUCUAAGUUCCUUGGAACAGGACGUCAUAGAGGGUGAGAAUCCCGUAUGUGACUGGUGGCAUUUGUCCGUGUAAAGCUCUUUCGACGAGUCGAGUUGUUUGGGAAUGCAGCUCAAAAUGGGUGGUAUAUUUCAUCUAAAGCUAAAUAUUGGCCAGAGACCGAUAGCGCACAAGUAGAGUGAUCGAAAGAUGAAAAGCACUUUGGAAAGAGAGUUAAACAGUACGUGAAAUUGUUGAAAGGGAAGCGCUUGCAACCAGACUUGCAGGUCGUUGAUCAUCCGGGGUUUUCCCCGGUGCACUCGGCGGCUUUCAGGCCAGCAUCGGUUUGAGUGGUGGGAUAAAGGCCUUGGGAAUGUGGCUCCUCUCGGGGAGUGUUAUAGCCCAAGGUGCAAUGCCGCCUAUUCGGACCGAGGACCGCGCUUCGGCUAGGAUGCUGGCGUAAUGGUUGUAAGCGACCCGUCUUGAAACACGGACCAAGGAGUCUAACAUCUAUGCGAGUGUUUGGGUGUCAAACCCAUACGCGUAAUUAACGUGAACGGAGGUAAGAACCCUUAAGGGUGCAUUAUCGACCGAUCCUGAUGUCUUCGGAUGGAUUUGAGUAAGAGCAUAGCUGUUGGGACCCGAAA
RNAcentral lists this ribosomal RNA (774 nucleotides) under uncultured fungus. RNAcentral's name for it is "eukaryotic LSU rRNA". It matches the Rfam family "Eukaryotic large subunit ribosomal RNA", at positions 30 to 821 of the family's 3401-position model. The record is from RNAcentral. Lineage: Eukaryota; Fungi.